This 253-nucleotide ribosomal RNA is filed under the name uncultured bacterium. RNAcentral's name for it is "partial 16S ribosomal RNA". It matches the Rfam family "Bacterial small subunit ribosomal RNA", at positions 524 to 776 of the family's 1533-position model. The record is from RNAcentral.
UACGGGGGGGGCAAGCGUUGUUCGGAAUUACUGGGCGUAAAGGGCUUGUAGGUGGCCAACUAAGUCAGACGUGAAAUCCCUCGGCUUAACCGGGGAACUGCGUCUGAUACUGGCAGGCUUGAAUCCGGGAGAGGGAUGCGGAAUUCCUGGUGUAGCGGUGAAAUGCGCAGAUAUCAGGAGGAACACCGGUGGCGAAGGCGGAUCUCUGGGCCUUGCCUGACGCUGAGGCGCGAAAGCUAGGGGAGCGAACAGG